AUUUACUCUGAACUGGAAGCCGUCUUAUAAAAAAGAUGAUGUGCAGGAGUAAAAAGCUAUUGUGAAGGGAAAAGUGAGGUUCAAGAUAAAGUACAGUGGUUCUACAAGGCAGCAUUAGGGACAGUCUCUGAAGAAACCUUUAAUUGGUGGUAUCUGGUGCCAUAAGUUAUUCUUCAGUCUAUUCAUUGUGGAGCUUUCCAUCCUGUUUGUGCUCAGUGAUAAAUAAAGUGGCCUCUGCUUUAUGAAUGGCUAUAAUUAAUUGGAGCUGAAGGAAUAAACAGCAUAGAAACCAGAUCACAGGAUCACAGGAGGGUGAGGGAAGAAGGGGAAGACACUCACUCAUUGAAAAGGAUCCAUUGACAUCAUCUCUUCCUGACCUGAAACACAUCAUACCAACUGAGGAUAAUGUGACCUUCAAACUCUGGCAUGGCACAGAAAAAGGCAUUCCAUGUUGGUCUUUAGGAAUCUUCUCCCCAAGAAGAAAAAGGUCAGUUAUAAAGACAUCCUUCCAGAAGAGAGGAACAUUCUGGAUCCUGCUCAGGGAGAAAGAUGAAGAUCUAGCUGAAUAUAGAAGUAAGAGGGACCAUAGCCAUACAGGCCAGGCUUCCUAACCACUGUGUUCAGGGUCUGUGUUCUAUGUGUUAACUGUGUUCUAUGACAUCUCAUGAGGAAGAGAACAAAGAAAUAAUGUUCAGACCAGUGAUACUUUUCCCAUUAAAUUAUUCCCAUUAAAGUCUUGUAUGUAUCAAAUAAAUGCAAUACUUUUCCAGAUCAAAAUAUCAGCCAUUUCCUACAUAAAAAUAACAGCAAGGUAACAUAUUUGAUAAUCCCACUGAUGAAAUAUGAUGUUGUGGUUCCCUGAUUUUAGGGGGGCUUCUGUUCCAACAAUGAGUCAGGAAAUCUUAAAUCUUUUGGUUUUGGAGUUUGUCUCAGAGACUUCCUACAAUUCCCAAUCUGAGAACAACAAUCUGUCUAAUUCUGAAUAGACUAUUUUCCAGUUUGUUGAUGACUGAUAAUCUUAUCAAUGGAAACCAAGUUCCAGAACCACCCCCAUUUCAUUGCUGACUAAUAAUCUGGUCAUUGAGAACCAAAUUCCAGAGACUACUCCCUAGACCUAUCCUUGGGCCAUAGAAUUAAUAUGCCAAUGGUAGAACCAAAUUCUGGAGACCAUUCCUUCCUACCUAUGAGCCAUAGAAUUAACAUAUCUAUGAUUGAAAGCUGGAUAAAUGUAUCUCCUUGCUUCUCUUUCUCUGUGGAAAUUCCUUAGAAUUCCAGCCCACAGUUGUAAUGGCCUUAUUACUGC
RNAcentral lists this long non-coding RNA (1303 nucleotides) under Sarcophilus harrisii (Tasmanian devil). RNAcentral describes it as "lncRNA (ENSSHAG00000026172.1)". Lineage: Eukaryota; Metazoa; Chordata; Mammalia; Dasyuromorphia; Dasyuridae. The record is from RNAcentral.